AUUGAACGCUGGCGGCAGGCUUAACACAUGCAAGUCGGACGGUAACAGGGGAGCUUGCUCCUGCUGACGAGUGGCGGACGGGUGAGUAAGGUCUGGGAAACUGCCCGAUGGCGGGGGAUAACCACUGGAAACGGUGGCUAAUACCGCAUAAUGUCGCAAGACCAAAGAGGGGGACCUUAGGGCCUCUUGCCAUCGGAUGUGCCCAGAUGGGAUUAGCUAGUAGGUGGGGUAAAGGCUCACCUAGGCGACGAUCUCUAGCUGGUCUGAGAGGAUGACCAGCCACACUGGAACUGAGACACGGUCCAGACUCCUACGGGAGGCAGCAGUGGGGAAUAUUGCACAAUGGGCGCAAGCCUGAUGCAGCCAUGCCGCGUGUAUGAAGAAGGCCUUCGGGUUGUAAAGUACUUUCAGCGAGGAGGAAGGCAUUAAGGUUAAUAACCUUAGUGAUUGACGUUACUCGCAGAAGAAGCACCGGCUAACUCCGUGCCAGCAGCCGCCGUAAUAC
Molecule: ribosomal RNA, 505 nt
Filed under: uncultured bacterium
Lineage: Bacteria
Description: bacterial SSU rRNA
Rfam family: Bacterial small subunit ribosomal RNA
Source: RNAcentral